Molecule: ribosomal RNA, 402 nt
Filed under: uncultured bacterium
Lineage: Bacteria
Description: bacterial SSU rRNA
Rfam family: Bacterial small subunit ribosomal RNA
Source: RNAcentral
UGGGGAAUAUUGGACAAUGGGCGAAAGCCUGAUCCAGCCAUGCCGCGUGAGUGAUGAAGGCCCUAGGGUUGUAAAGCUCUUUUGUGCGGGAAGAUAAUGACGGUACCGCAAGAAUAAGCCCCGGCUAACUUCGUGCCAGCAGCCGCGGUAAUACGAAGGGGGCUAGCGUUGCUCGGAAUCACUGGGCGUAAAGGGUGCGUAGGCGGGUUUCUAAGUCAGAGGUGAAAGCCUGGAGCUCAACUCCAGAACUGCCUUUGAUACUGGAAGUCUUGAGUUCGGGAGAGGUGAGUGGAACUGCGAGUGUAGAGGUGAAAUUCGUAGAUAUUCGCAAGAACACCAGUGGCGAAGGCGGCUCACUGGCCCGAUACUGACGCUGAGGCACGAAAGCGUGGGGAGCAACCA